RNAcentral lists this unclassified non-coding RNA (333 nucleotides) under uncultured Glomeraceae. RNAcentral describes it as "sequence contains 18S rRNA gene". Lineage: Eukaryota; Fungi; Glomeromycota; Glomeromycetes; Glomerales; Glomeraceae. The record is from RNAcentral.
CCCAACUAUCCCUAUUAAUCAUUACGUCAAUCCUAGAAACCAACAAAAUAGGAUCAAACGUCCUAUUUCAUUAUUCCAUGCUAAUGUAUUCAAGCGUUAGCUUGCUUUAAACACUCUAAUUUUUUAAAGUAACAGUCCAAAUUUCCCGCAACACCAAAUUAAUGGCAUUACGGUUCAUCAGGAAUGAGGAAUCAGUGAGACCAGUACAUACCAGAGGCAUAACCAACCUACUAACCCCGAAAUUCAACUACGAGCUUUUUAACUGCAACAACUUUAAUAUACGCUAUUGGAGCUGGAAUUACCGUAGCUGUUGGCACCAGACUUGCCCUCCAA